GCUGGGUGUGGUGGUGCACACCUGUAGUCCCAGCUAUUCGGGAGGCUGAGGUGGAAGGAUCACUUGAGCCCAGGAGGUUGAGGCUGCAGUGAGCAGUGCUUGAGCCACUGCACUCCAGCCUGGAUAACAAAGCAAGACCCUACCUCUU
Papio anubis (olive baboon) is the source of this 148-nucleotide unclassified non-coding RNA. It matches the Rfam family "Metazoan signal recognition particle RNA". Rfam says of the family: The signal recognition particle (SRP) is a universally conserved ribonucleoprotein. Lineage: Eukaryota; Metazoa; Chordata; Mammalia; Primates; Cercopithecidae. The record is from Ensembl.